CCCUUAGAUGUCCGGGGCCGCACGCGCGCUACACUGAAGGAAUCAGCGUGGCUUUCUCCCUGACCCGAAAGGGUUGGGAAACCCGUUGAAUCUCCUUCGUGAUAGGGAUUGGGGCUUGAAAUUGUUCCCCAUGAACGAGGAAUUCCCAGUAAGCGCGAGUCAUAAGCUCGCGUUGAUUACGUCCCUGCCCUUUGUACACACCGCCCGUCGCUACUACCGAUUGAACGGUUUAGUGAGGGCCUCGGAUUGGUCUAGGCCCGCUCUUUACCGGGCGGCGCCGUUGGUCGAGAAGACGCUCGAACUUGAUCGUUUAGAGGAAGUAGAAGUCGUAACA
RNAcentral lists this ribosomal RNA (334 nucleotides) under uncultured eukaryote. RNAcentral's name for it is "partial 18S ribosomal RNA". It matches the Rfam family "Eukaryotic small subunit ribosomal RNA", at positions 1470 to 1796 of the family's 1831-position model. The record is from RNAcentral.